Molecule: RNase P RNA, 360 nt
Filed under: Betaproteobacteria bacterium
Lineage: Bacteria; Pseudomonadati; Pseudomonadota; Betaproteobacteria
Description: RNase P RNA component class A
Rfam family: Bacterial RNase P class A
About the family: Ribonuclease P (RNase P) is a ubiquitous endoribonuclease, found in archaea, bacteria and eukarya as well as chloroplasts and mitochondria. Its best characterised activity is the generation of mature 5'-ends of tRNAs by cleaving the 5'-leader elements of precursor-tRNAs.
Source: RNAcentral
GAAGUCAGCCAGGCCGUCGCUGCCGACGGCGCGCUAUGCGUCGCCGGGAGAGGAAAGUCCGGGCUCCGAAGAGCGGGAUGCUGGGUAACGCCCAGACGCCCUAAGCCGUUCGCGCGAGCGGCGGUGAAGGCGAGGAACAGGGCCACAGAGACGAGUCGCAUCCGAUCAAAAGGAUGCGAGUGAAACGCGGCAACCUCCAUCCGGAGCAACACCAAGUAAGCGGACGACGACGCUGCUCGCCGAGUCCGCGGGUAGGUGGCUCGAGCGCCGUGGCAACGCGGCGCCUAGAUGAAUGACGGUCAUAGCGCGCUUACUUUGAGCGCGCCGUAACAGAACCCGGCUUAUCGGCUGGCUUCGAUU